UAUUUGCCGUGUAUAUAUCUUUGUGUGUGUGUGUAUAUAUAUGUUAUAUAUAUAUAUAUACACACAUACACAUAGAACAAGGAAGAAAUA
RNAcentral lists this microRNA precursor (90 nucleotides) under Loxodonta africana (African savanna elephant). Its description in RNAcentral is "miRNA (ENSLAFG00000025480.1)". Lineage: Eukaryota; Metazoa; Chordata; Mammalia; Proboscidea; Elephantidae. The record is from RNAcentral.